This 455-nucleotide ribosomal RNA is filed under the name Lutjanus malabaricus (Malabar blood snapper). Its description in RNAcentral is "partial 12S ribosomal RNA". It matches the Rfam family "Bacterial small subunit ribosomal RNA", at positions 754 to 1413 of the family's 1533-position model. Lineage: Eukaryota; Metazoa; Chordata; Actinopteri; Lutjaniformes; Lutjanidae. The record is from RNAcentral.
AAAAAGCUUCAAACUGGGAUUAGAUACCCCACUAUGCCUAGCCAUAAACAUUGAUAGCGAAACUACACCUGCUAUCCGCCUGGGAACUACGAGCAUCAGCUUGAAACCCAAAGGACUUGGCGGUGCUUUAGAUCCACCUAGAGGAGCCAUGUUCUAGAACCGAUUACCCCCGUUCAACCUCACCUUUUCUUGUUUUCUCCGCCUAUAUACCACCGUCGUCAGCUUACCCUGUGAAGGACUCAUAGUAAGCAAGAUUGGCAUAGCCCAAAACGUCAGGUCGAGGUGUAGCGUAUGGAAAGGGAAGAAAUGGGCUACAUUCCCUAACACAGUGAAUUACGAACGAUACAUUGAAAUAUCUAUCUGAAGGAGGAUUUAGCGGUAAGCAGAAAAUAGAGCGUUCCGCAAUGAAACCGGCCCUGAAGCGCGCACACACCGCCCGUCACCCUCUGCAGUCA